Molecule: ribosomal RNA, 476 nt
Filed under: Selenomonas sputigena
Lineage: Bacteria; Bacillati; Bacillota; Negativicutes; Selenomonadales; Selenomonadaceae
Description: bacterial SSU rRNA
Rfam family: Bacterial small subunit ribosomal RNA
Source: RNAcentral
GACGAACGCGGCGGCGUGCUUAACACAUGCAAGUCGAACGGGAACCUUUAUUUCGGUAAAGGUGAGAGUGGCAAACGGGUGAGUAACACGUAGGCAACCUGCCGACAGGAUGGGGACAACAUUCCGAAAGGAAUGCUAAUACCGAAUGGAGUCCGAGGAUGGCAUCAUCCUUGGAUAAAAGAUGGCCUCUGAAUAUGCUAUCGCCUGUCGAUGGGCCUGCGUCUGAUUAGCCAGUUGGCGGGGUAACGGCCCACCAAAGCGACGAUCAGUAGCCGGUCUGAGAGGAUGAACGGCCACAUUGGGACUGAGACACGGCCCAGACUCCUACGGGAGGCAGCAGUGGGGAAUCUUCCACAAUGGGCGAAAGCCUGAUGGAGCAACGCCGCGUGAGUGAAGAAGGUCUUCGGAUCGUAAAGCUCUGUUGCACGGGACGAAAACUGGGUUUGAAAACAUUGAGCCUGGGGACGUACCGAGCG